AACGCUAGCUACAGGCUUAACACAUGCAAGUCGAGGGGCAGCAUGGAUCAAGCUUGCUUGAUCUGAUGGCGACCGGCGCACGGGUGCGUAACGCGUAUCCAACCUUCCCGUUACUCUCGGACAGCCUUCCGAAAGGGAGAUUAAUACGAGAUGGUGUUCAAGUGGUGCAUAUUAUUUGAACUAAAGAUUUAUCGGUAACGGAUGGGGAUGCGUACCAUUAGCUUGUUGGCGGGGUAACGGCCCACCAAGGCUUCGAUGGUUAGGGGUUCUGAGAGGAAGAUCCCCCACACUGGAACUGAGACACGGUCCAGACUCCUACGGGAGGCAGCAGUGAGGAAUAUUGGUCAAUGGCCGAGAGGCUGAACCAGCCAAGUAGCGUGAAGGAUGAAGGUUCUAUGGAUUGUAAACUUCUUUUAUACGGGAAUAACACCACCUACGUGUAGGUGCCUGCAUGUACCGUAUGAAUAAGCAUCGGCUAACUCCGUGCCAGCAGCCGCGGUAAUACGGAGGAUGCGAGCGUUAUCCGGAUUUAUUGGGUUUAAAGGGAGCGUAGACGGGUGAUUAAGUCAGUUGUGAAAGGCUGCGGCUCAACCGCAGCACUGCAGUUGAUACUGGUUACCUUGAGUGCGUACGAGGUACGUGGAAUUCGUGGUGUAGCGGUGAAAUGCUUAGAUAUCACGAAGAACCCCGAUUGCGAAGGCAGCGUACCAGUCCGUAACUGACGUUGAUGCUCGAAAGUGUGGGUAUCAAACAGGAUUAGAUACCCUGGUAGUCCACACGGUAAACGAUGGACACUCGCUGUUGGCGAUAUACUGUCAGCGGCCAAGCGAAAGCGUUAAGUGUCCCACCUGGGGAGUACGCCGGCAACGGUGAAACUCAAAGGAAUUGACGGGGGCCCGCACAAGCGGAGGAACAUGUGGUUUAAUUCGAUGAUACGCGAGGAACCUUACCCGGGCUUAAAUUACAGAGGACAGAUCCAGAGACGGAUCCUUCUUCGGACCUCUGUGAAGGUGCUGCAUGGUUGUCGUCAGCUCGUGCCGUGAGGUGUCGGCUUAAGUGC
RNAcentral lists this ribosomal RNA (1060 nucleotides) under uncultured Bacteroidales bacterium. RNAcentral describes it as "bacterial SSU rRNA". It matches the Rfam family "Bacterial small subunit ribosomal RNA", at positions 32 to 1087 of the family's 1533-position model. The record is from RNAcentral. Lineage: Bacteria; Pseudomonadati; Bacteroidota; Bacteroidia; Bacteroidales.